Molecule: long non-coding RNA, 1241 nt
Filed under: Capra hircus (goat)
Lineage: Eukaryota; Metazoa; Chordata; Mammalia; Artiodactyla; Bovidae
Description: lncRNA (ENSCHIG00010008954.1)
Source: RNAcentral
AUUGGUUCAGUCUGGCUCAUGUGCGUGUGCCUAGGCCAAUCAUAAUGGCCAGGGAAAUGACACACUGUGAUUGGCUUGACCUGGAUUAUGUUUUUCUUUAAGGAAGGUGAUGAGGCAGUAGAUAACUGGACAGCCCAACCAGAACCACGUGUUCCCCAAAGGUAGAAGGGAGUCAUUUACCAGAGGUGGGGAGAAAUGGGGAGUAUGGGGCAGAAAUAAAGCACAGAUAUACACCACCUAGGAGAAGAUGUUCACGUUUGGAAGAACAGGAAGGCACCUAACAUCUUCUUGUGAAGUUAGCUCCAGCAGAUGUGGCUACUUCCUGGACGGUCAUCCAUCUGGCGUCCACCUGACCAGCAGCACCCCAGGUGAGGCUGUGCUUCACGCGAAGCAGGCUCCAACUCUGAUACUCUCAGAAUGGCUGUGAUUAUAUCCUACAUGCUCAUCCAGACUCUCGCCCCACUGAUCCGUGAAGAGGGAGAGUCUAUUUCUCAGUCCUUUGAAUCUGGGUGAUUUUGUGAUUGCAGCAAUGAAGACCUAUAGAGUGAAAGUGAUGCGGUAUGAUUUCUGAGGCUGGGUCAGAAAAGGUGACACGGCUGGUGAGCAGCCUCUCUCAUGUAGGGCACUUACCCUUGGAGCCCAGCCACCAUCCUGUGAGGAAGCCCAACCAAGCCCGUGAGGGUAGGUUACACAUGGAGAAAAACUGAGGCCUUGAGCCCAAAGCCAGCAUCUCCACCACACACGAGAGUAAAAGACUUCAGCUGAUUCCAGCCCCCAGCUUUUGAGACGUUCAGUCUCCUGUACUCUGUCCAAAUUCUUGACACAAAAUCUAUUAGAUUAUGAUAAAUAUCUUUGUACCACCAAAUUUUGGGGUCUGGUUUCUAUGGUAAGUCGUGUCUUAUUUGAUAGCUCAUUUCUUUCUCCAGGGAUUGGUUUGGGGGUUGGUUUGAGAUCCAGCCCUGGCUAAUGCGAUGAGAAAAGAUGUCUACUGAGGGAAUUUCUGGAGAAGGUUUCCUGAUUUUGAAAGAAAAUUAUCAAGAAGAUGCAGGGUUUUUUCCUACCUCCCGAUGAAGCUUUGUGAGGAAAUAAUGCCUGGAUAACUGCAGCUAUUUUGUGACAAUGGCGGAGUGGUCCAAUGACGGCAGAAUGGAAAGAGAGACAGAUCCUCGGUCUGUAAGUUAUGAGAUGCUGCUUAUCCAGUCUUAACCCCACCCUAUUUUUGUGAAAUAGUAGCCCCCCUA